Molecule: transfer RNA, 66 nt
Filed under: Cryptalaus larvatus
Lineage: Eukaryota; Metazoa; Arthropoda; Insecta; Coleoptera; Elateridae
Description: tRNA-Ser
Source: RNAcentral
AGUUAAUGAACUUGUUAAAGUUUGUAUUUUGAAAAUACACCAAAGAGUUAAUUACUCUAUUAACUU